This 2440-nucleotide ribosomal RNA is filed under the name Salmonella enterica subsp. enterica serovar Typhimurium str. DT104. RNAcentral describes it as "bacterial LSU rRNA". It matches the Rfam family "Bacterial large subunit ribosomal RNA", at positions 591 to 2925 of the family's 2925-position model. The record is from RNAcentral. Lineage: Bacteria; Pseudomonadati; Pseudomonadota; Gammaproteobacteria; Enterobacterales; Enterobacteriaceae.
GUGUGACUGCGUACCUUUUGUAUAAUGGGUCAGCGACUUAUAUUCUGUAGCAAGGUUAACCGUAUAGGGGAGCCGGAGGGAAACCGAGUCUUAACCGGGCGUUAAGUUGCAGGGUAUAGACCCGAAACCCGGUGAUCUAGCCAUGGGCAGGUUGAAGGUUGGGUAACACUAACUGGAGGACCGAACCGACUAAUGUUGAAAAAUUAGCGGAUGACCUGUGGCUGGGGGUGAAAGGCCAAUCAAACCGGGAGAUAGCUGGUUCUCCCCGAAAGCUAUUUAGGUAGCGCCUCGUGAAUUCAUCUCCGGGGGUAGAGCACUGUUUCGGCUAGGGGGCCAUCCCGGCUUACCAACCCGAUGCAAACUGCGAAUACCGGAGAAUGUUAUCACGGGAGACACACGGCGGGUGCUAACGUCCGUCGUGAAGAGGGAAACAACCCAGACCGCCAGCUAAGGUCCCAAAGUCAUGGUUAAGUGGGAAACGAUGUGGGAAGGCCCAGACAGCCAGGAUGUUGGCUUAGAAGCAGCCAUCAUUUAAAGAAAGCGUAAUAGCUCACUGGUCGAGUCGGCCUGCGCGGAAGAUGUAACGGGGCUAAACCAUGCACCGAAGCUGCGGCAGCGAACGUAUCACCCAAGACAACUUUACGGAGUUGACGAUUGACGGAGCGAAGCGACGUCAAAGCGUUCAUUAAAGUCGAGUUGGCUUAGGGAUACGUUCGUUGGGUAGGGGAGCGUUCUGUAAGCCUGUGAAGGUGUGUCGUGAGGCAUGCUGGAGGUAUCAGAAGUGCGAAUGCUGACAUAAGUAACGAUAAAGCGGGUGAAAAGCCCGCUCGCCGGAAGACCAAGGGUUCCUGUCCAACGUUAAUCGGGGCAGGGUGAGUCGACCCCUAAGGCGAGGCCGAAAGGCGUAGUCGAUGGGAAACGGGUUAAUAUUCCCGUACUUGGUGUUACUGCGAAGGGGGGACGGAGAAGGCUAUGUUGGCCGGGCGACGGUUGUCCCGGUUUAAGCGUGUAGGUGUGUGUUCCAGGUAAAUCCGGUUCACUUUAACACUGAGGCGUGACGACGAGGCACUACGGUGCUGAAGCAACAAAUGCCCUGCUUCCAGGAAAAGCCUCUAAGCAUCAGGUAACACGAAAUCGUACCCCAAACCGACACAGGUGGUCAGGUAGAGAAUACCAAGGCGCUUGAGAGAACUCGGGUGAAGGAACUAGGCAAAAUGGUGCCGUAACUUCGGGAGAAGGCACGCUGACACGUAGGUGAAGUGAUUUACUCAUGGAGCUGAAGUCAGUCGAAGAUACCAGCUGGCUGCAACUGUUUAUUAAAAACACAGCACUGUGCAAACACGAAAGUGGACGUAUACGGUGUGACGCCUGCCCGGUGCCGGAAGGUUAAUUGAUGGGGUCAGCGUAAGCGAAGCUCCUGAUCGAAGCCCCGGUAAACGGCGGCCGUAACUAUAACGGUCCUAAGGUAGCGAAAUUCCUUGUCGGGUAAGUUCCGACCUGCACGAAUGGCGUAAUGAUGGCCAGGCUGUCUCCACCCGAGACUCAGUGAAAUUGAACUCGCUGUGAAGAUGCAGUGUACCCGCGGCAAGACGGAAAGACCCCGUGAACCUUUACUAUAGCUUGACACUGAACAUUGAGCCUUGAUGUGUAGGAUAGGUGGGAGGCUUUGAAGUGUGGACGCCAGUCUGCAUGGAGCCGACCUUGAAAUACCACCCUUUAAUGUUUGAUGUUCUAACGUGGACCCGUAAUCCGGGUUGCGGACAGUGUCUGGUGGGUAGUUUGACUGGGGCGGUCUCCUCCUAAAGAGUAACGGAGGAGCACGAAGGUUGGCUAAUCCUGGUCGGACAUCAGGAGGUUAGUGCAAUGGCAUAAGCCAGCUUGACUGCGAGCGUGACGGCGCGAGCAGGUGCGAAAGCAGGUCAUAGUGAUCCGGUGGUUCUGAAUGGAAGGGCCAUCGCUCAACGGAUAAAAGGUACUCCGGGGAUAACAGGCUGAUACCGCCCAAGAGUUCAUAUCGACGGCGGUGUUUGGCACCUCGAUGUCGGCUCAUCACAUCCUGGGGCUGAAGUAGGUCCCAAGGGUAUGGCUGUUCGCCAUUUAAAGUGGUACGCGAGCUGGGUUUAGAACGUCGUGAGACAGUUCGGUCCCUAUCUGCCGUGGGCGCUGGAGAACUGAGGGGGGCUGCUCCUAGUACGAGAGGACCGGAGUGGACGCAUCACUGGUGUUCGGGUUGUCAUGCCAAUGGCACUGCCCGGUAGCUAAAUGCGGAAGAGAUAAGUGCUGAAAGCAUCUAAGCACGAAACUUGCCCCGAGAUGAGUUCUCCCUGAGACUUAGAGUCUCCUGAAGGAACGUUGAAGACGACGACGUUGAUAGGCCGGGUGUGUAAGCGCAGCGAUGCGUUGAGCUAACCGGUACUAAUGAACCGUGAGGCUUAACCUU